This 254-nucleotide ribosomal RNA is filed under the name uncultured bacterium. RNAcentral describes it as "partial 16S ribosomal RNA". It matches the Rfam family "Bacterial small subunit ribosomal RNA", at positions 524 to 776 of the family's 1533-position model. The record is from RNAcentral.
UACGUAGGGCGCAAGCGUUAUCCGGAAUUAUUGGGCGUAAAGAGCGCGUAGGCGGCGCUGUACGACCCGUGUGAAAGCCCCCGGCUCAACUGGGGAGGGUCACGGGUAACGGCAGUGCUCUGAGUGCAGGAGAGGGAAGUGGAACUCCGGGAGUAGCGGUGAAAUGCGUAGAGACCCGGAGGAACACCGGUGGCGAAGGCGGCUUCCUGGUCUGCAACUGACGCUGUGGCGCGAAAGCUAGGGGAGCAAACGGG